AUGCGAGUCCAUCUCGCGCCGGAGAGGGAGAUCUCCCCGGCACCGGAAGAGGACGAGCGGGUAAUCUUCCGCUCGCAUUGCCUUCGCGGCUUUGGCCUGCCGGCGAGCGGGUUCUUCUGCUCCUUCCUCGAAUUCUAUCAUCUCCAGCUGCAUCACCUCACUCCCAAUGCAGUGAUGCUGCUGUCGGCCUUCGUCACCCUGUGCAAGGGUUUUCUUGGCGUCCUCCCCACCCUUGAACUGUGGGGAGAGUUCUUCCAGUGCAAGCUUGGCACUAUUGUUGCGGGCAUGCCCGCCCCAUGCGGCACCUUCAUCGCUGUGCAGAGGACGGGCGACAACAACCCGUUUCCGUCCAUCCCACUGAUCCAGUCGGUGAAGCUCUGGUAG
This 384-nucleotide ribosomal RNA is filed under the name Triticum aestivum (bread wheat). RNAcentral's name for it is "partial small subunit ribosomal RNA". Lineage: Eukaryota; Viridiplantae; Streptophyta; Magnoliopsida; Poales; Poaceae. The record is from RNAcentral.